RNAcentral lists this ribosomal RNA (241 nucleotides) under uncultured bacterium. RNAcentral describes it as "partial 16S ribosomal RNA". It matches the Rfam family "Bacterial small subunit ribosomal RNA", at positions 62 to 334 of the family's 1533-position model. The record is from RNAcentral.
UCGAGUGGGUUUAGGCCCACGGCAAACGGGUGAGUAAUAUCUAGGAACAUACCUAUAGUUGAGCAUAACCUACCGAAAGGUAGAGCAAUUCUCAAUGUGACCGCAAGGUUAAAGUCGCAAGACGCUAUAGAAGUGGCCUGGACACCAUCAGCUAGUUGGUAAGGUAAAGGCUUACCAAGGCUUUGACGGUUAGGGGCCCCGAGAGGGGAAACCCCCACACUGGAACUGAGACACGGUCCAG